Molecule: ribosomal RNA, 440 nt
Filed under: uncultured bacterium
Lineage: Bacteria
Description: partial 16S ribosomal RNA
Rfam family: Bacterial small subunit ribosomal RNA
Source: RNAcentral
CCUACGGGAGGCAGCAGUGGGGGAUAUUGCACAAUGGGGGAAACCCUGAUGCAGCGACGCCGCGUGUGGGAAGACGGCCCUCUGGACUGUAACCCACUUUCUCCAGGGACAAAGACGACGGUUCCUCAGGAGGAAGCCCCGGCCAACUACGUGGCAACCGCCGUGGUAAUACGUGGGGAGCGAGCGUUGUCCGGAAUUACUGGGUGUAAAGGGAGCGUAGGCGGGACUGCAAGUUGGGUGUCAAAUCUACCGGCUCAACCGCUAGCUGCACUGAAAACUGGAGUUCUUGAGUGAAGUAGAGGAAGGCGGAAUUCCUAGUGUAGCGGUGAAAUGCGUAGAUAUUAGGAGGAACACCAGUGGCGAAGGCGGCUUGCUGGGCUGUUACUGACGCUGAGGUUCGAAAGUGUGGGGAGCAAACAGGAUUAGAUACCCGUGUAGUC